CACUAAGCUAAGGACCCUGGGACUGAACACCUCCCUCUGUAACUGGAUCCUGGACUUCCUGACGGGCCGCCCCCAUGUGGUAAGGGUAGGCAACAACACAUCUGCAAUGCUUAUCCUCAACACUGGGGCCCCUCAGUGGUGUGUGCUUAGUCCCCUCCUGUACUCCCUGUUCACCCACGACUGCAUGGCCAAGCACGACUCCAACACCAUCAUUAAGUUUACUGUCGACACAACAGUGGUAGGCCUGAUCACCAACAACGAUGAGACAGCCUAUAGGGAGGAGGUCAGAGACCUGGUUGUGUGGUGCCAGGACAACAACCUCUCCCUCAACGAUGAGACAGCCUGUAGGGAGGAGGUCAGAGAACUGGCAGUGUGUUGCCAGGACAACAACCUCUCCCUCAAUGUGAGAAAGACAAAGGAGCUGAUAGUGGACUACAUGGAAAACUAUAGGAAAACGAGGGCCGAACAGGCCCCCAUUAACAUCGACUGGGCUGUAGUGGAGCGGGUCGAGAGUUUCAAGUUCCUUGGUGUCCACAUCUAUCAUGAUCCAAAACCACCAAGACAGUCAUGAAGAGGCCAUUUCCCCUUAAGGAGACUGAAAAGUUCUGGCAUGGGUCCCCAGAGCCUCGAAAAGUUCUACAGCUGCACCAUUGAAAGCAUCCUGAUUGGUUGCAUCACCGCUUGGUAUGGCAACUGCUCGGCAUCUGAGCCUAAGAAACUACAGAGGGUAAUGCGUACGGCCCAGUAUAUCACUGGGACCAAGCUUCCUGCCAUCCAGGACCUCUAUCCCAGGCUGUGUCAGAGGAAGGCCCAAAAAAUGGUCAAAGACUCCAGCCACCCAAGUCAUAUACAGUUCUCUCUGCUACCAGGCGGUAAGCGGUACCGGAGCACCAAGUCUAGGACCAAGAGGCUCCUUAACAGCUUCUACCCCCAAGCCAUAAGACUGCUGAACAACUAAUCAAAUGGCCAUCCCUCCCCCCUUUGAUUUUACACUGCUGCAACUCGCUGUUUGUUAU
Long non-coding RNA from Oncorhynchus tshawytscha (Chinook salmon), 1016 nucleotides. The record is from Ensembl. NCBI's taxonomy places the organism in Eukaryota, Metazoa, Chordata, Actinopteri, Salmoniformes, Salmonidae.